RNAcentral lists this long non-coding RNA (285 nucleotides) under Sorghum bicolor (sorghum). RNAcentral's name for it is "long non-coding RNA (SBIC_LNC009842)". Lineage: Eukaryota; Viridiplantae; Streptophyta; Magnoliopsida; Poales; Poaceae. The record is from RNAcentral.
GGGUCGCCGAGGUGCUCUGGGUCCUCUCCGAUAGGUCCUGCUCUACAAAAGAAGAAACAUAUCAUUAUCAGUGAAAAAUUUGGCAGAACCUCCCCUGUACAGGGAGGUUUCCAAAACCUACAAGAAAAGCUGGCAUGAUGGUCGACAAACACAACAACACGAAGCCCAAUAAACACAAAGGCAUAAAGGUCGACAAUCACAAUGACACGAAGGCCGAUAACUAGAACCGGACGGUUCAUAUACCUUGGGCAUUGGUGGGAUGUGCACACAGAGAAGAAGACGCCG